CUGACACACACACACACUCACUCACUCACUCACUCACUCACUUACUCUCACACACACACACACUUUUUUUAUCCAGAAAACCUUUGUCAUCAUCUUCUUCAUCCGUGUCCUGCGCGUGUGCACAGCACGUUCCAGGACCAGACUGAAAAGGUAAUUUCCUCUGUCAGUGCGUUUCAGGCUUCAGUGACACAGCAGAAACACCGGGACACUCAGCCAUGAGUCAAACGGGCUUCACCAGAACCAGAUGUCCACGCCACAUCGCGGGCCGGGUGAUGUGCAUGAACCCAAGCUGUGUCCGACGCGCGAGGAUGAACGCGCUUCUUUGUGACGGGGGUCGAAGGUCAUGACGACAGCGGACACGUUGGUGUCGCGAGCUGAUGGUCUGCUUUUGAUUCGAUGAGUCAGCGGGCGCAUACCACGACACAGCGCCCCCUGCAGCCUGAAGCAGCGAACAGGUGUUUUCAAAAGAACGGGAACAAUUUGGCCCGAUCACAACAUGACCUGUUUUGAAGUCGACGACGGAGGUGGAGUUAUUUUACCCUGGACUUUGUCUUGCAGAUCAGCCUCAGGGUCUAAGCGAGACAGAGUGCAAGAUUGGACCACCUCGAUGGCACACGCAGAACACACACUCCUCUGCGUACACUCUCAGUAACCCUACAUUCAUUAGUUAAUCCUCUCGGUACCAGAAGACGUGAGGCAUCAAACGCACAUGCCAGCCUGCCAGACGUUACGCAGGGCUUUGUAUCGUCGAUGUCGUCACAAUCUUGCGACGGGCCUCAGAGCAAAACAGAGAAGUCGGAGAACCGGACCAAGCGCGUAUCGAACUUGUCCAGUGCAACUGUCUGAUUGUUGUGUUUGAUCCAGACUCAUCUUCGGCCUUCGGAACAGUGUUCCCCAGAAAACAAUCGAAAGGUUCAGUUGUGUUUUUUUCUAUUUCAUUGCUGUAGCUAACUGGCUAAUGCUAAUGUGCGGGCCCUCAACGGCACAAGCAGCAAGUUCCAUUCUUCCCGACCGAACGACGAGUCCAGUUUAGAUGCGACAGCAAACACGUCGAGCAUUUGAGUCGCGGUUUUAGUGAUGACUUCCAGGCGGACCGGGUUUUCCAGCACCGACUCAGCGAUCCACCGUAAACAAAGUGUCUCCAGUCUGUCGGACAGAGCGGACUCCAAGUCCAUGUUCGGAAACAUGACGGUGACUUCGCUGAGAUCCCGACUGGCUCCGAGCAUCCAGGCCGCGGUGGACACUCUGCUGGGCGAGGUGGUACUGGUUCUGAAUGAGACCCAGCAAGAGCUGGCCAACAAGGAGCAGGAGAACCAGCGGCUGAAGGUGCGGCUGGAGGUGUCGGAGCGGGAGCUGAAGAGCCUGCAGGAGUGUCUGUGUAGUGCUCAGAAACUCAUCGACCAGCUGCAGGUUUCGUACCCACAACCGCAGUUCACCCCGUCCCUGUCUUCCAUGGCUUCCAUGGCAGCCAGUUUGGACAGGAACCACCAGAACUCCAGGGGUGUGAAUGGGGCCGGGGUCGACCUGGGUCUGGGUGGCGCUGUGGAGGAAUCCCUUCAUGGUUUUGGGUCCAGAGACGACUUCAAAAUGUGCCAGCUGUCGAUCCAGCCGGACGGUUCUGUGACCAACCACAGCUUGGACUCAUUCUCCACGGGAAGCGACCACAUCUGCUCAGACACUGGCAGACCAGACCAGCACCAUCCUCGGGCACCAGGGUCCACUUUUGUGGUUAAAGAGGAGCAUGGACACACUCCAGGACCGGUCCUGUCCCAAGGGAAGGAGUCCACCUUGGGGAGUGAGACUAGAGUGGGUGAAGUAGAUCACUCCUCUCAGACUGUAGGGGACCUCAGCUACGGUCCACUGGGUGAAGAGGGGGGAUCCCACCGACCCUUUCCUCACCCAUCACAGCGCCACCAUAGGCAAGCGGCAGAGUGUGGUUCUGCUCUGGCAGGAGCCGAGGCACAGAAAGGUGACAGCCAGUCUCCGGGGAGAACAGAGGACUUGGCCGGACCCUCGGAGUCUGCGGCAGAACCCCCCGCUGACCGGCCUCACCACUGCCUGGAAUGCGGGAAGACAUUCCGUCUGAUCUCCAGUCUGAAGAAACACAUUCGGAUCCACACGGGCGAGAAGCCGUACCCCUGCGGCGUCUGUGGCCGAAGGUUCCGGGAGUCCGGAGCCCUGAAGACCCACCUCCGCAUUCACACUGGCGAGAAGCCGUACUCCUGCUCGGAGUGCGGCACGAGCUUCAGACACUUGGACGGUUUGCGCAAACACCGGCGCACGCACACUGGUGAAAAGCCCUACGUCUGCGCCAUUUGUGGCAAACGUCUCAGCCGCCUGCAGCACCUGAAGCACCACCAGCUGAUCCACACGGGUGAGAGACCCUGCUGCUGCCCCUUCUGCAACCGCAGCUUCAAGGAGCCAGCGGCGCUCCGCAAACACGUGCGCACGCACCGGGACGAGGGCGGCCACAUGAGUCUGGCCGCGGAGGACACGGACCCUGAUGCUCUGGAGGACAUGAACAACCUCCACCCUGCAGCUCCCUCCCCCCAGAUGAGGUUCGGCGAGUGGGGCGGGGGCGGCGACGACGACGACGCCUCAGCUGUGGACUGUGUGUAGCUGCCAUAUCCUGCCAAAUACACACGCUUGUCUGUGGCCAGCAGUCAUUUUGUGUCAGCGUGUGACAGCAGUUUUACCUUUUUGUGAAAGUGUUUUCUACGUGCCGUGCUGAAACAGUGAUGUAACUUCCACCUUUUUUCUUCUCCGUGAUGCGAGUUGAUCCAGUGACAGGCAUCUGGUAGUCCCUGCAUGUGGGUCGGACCGGGACCAGGAUGUCCCUGCAUGUGGGUCGGACCGGAACCGGGACUGGGAGUAGAAACUUCAGGCUUGACCCGGAUAUGGGCGCCCUCCGAGAUGCGUCCUCCUCAACACAUGUCCACUCGGGGGCGCCAUAGAGUCAAGC
Molecule: RNA transcript, 2962 nt
Organism: Synchiropus splendidus (mandarinfish)
Lineage: Eukaryota; Metazoa; Chordata; Actinopteri; Syngnathiformes; Callionymidae
Gene name: zinc finger protein 16-like
Exons: 3
Source: RefSeq, a predicted model, not a curated record